RNAcentral lists this ribosomal RNA (492 nucleotides) under uncultured bacterium. RNAcentral's name for it is "partial 16S ribosomal RNA". It matches the Rfam family "Bacterial small subunit ribosomal RNA", at positions 29 to 507 of the family's 1533-position model. The record is from RNAcentral.
AGUGAACGCUGGCGGUAGGCCUAACACAUGCAAGUCGAACGGCAGCACAGUAAGCGCUUGCUCUUACGGGUGGCGAGUGGCGGACGGGUGAGGCAUACAUCGGAAUCUACUUUUUCGUGGGGGAUAACGUAGGGAAACUUACGCUAAUACCGCAUACGACCUACGGGUGAAAGCAGGGGAUCUUCGCACCUUGCGCGAUUGAAUGAGCCGAUGUCGGAUUAGCUAGUUGGCGGGGUAAAGGCCCACCAAGGCGACGAUCCGUAGCUGGUCUGAGAGGAUGAUCAGCCACAAUGGAACUGAGACACGGUCCAGACUCCUACGGGAGGCAGCAGUGGGGAAUAUUGGGCAAUGGGCGCAAGCCUGAUCCAGCCAUACCGCGUGGGUGAAGAAGGCCUUCGGGUUGUAAAGCCCUUUUGUUGGGAAAGAAAAGCAGCAGGUUUAUACCCCCCUGUUUUGACGGUACCCAAAGAAUAAGCACCGGCUAACUUCGUG